This 253-nucleotide ribosomal RNA is filed under the name uncultured bacterium. RNAcentral describes it as "partial 16S ribosomal RNA". It matches the Rfam family "Bacterial small subunit ribosomal RNA", at positions 524 to 776 of the family's 1533-position model. The record is from RNAcentral.
UACGGAGGGUGCGAGCGUUGCUUGGAAUUAUUGGGCGUAAAGCGUACGCAGGCGGCUCGGCAAGUCGAGUGUGAAAUCCCGGGGCUCAACUCCGGAACUGCAUUCGAUACUGCCGGGCUUGAGUGCGGGAGAGGGAAGCGGAAUUCCUGGUGUAGAGGUGAAAUUCGUAGAUAUCAGGAGGAACACCGGUGGCGAAAGCGGCUUCCUGGCCCGACACUGACGCUCAUGUACGAAAGCGUGGGGAGCAAACAGG